This 77-nucleotide transfer RNA is filed under the name Oligoflexales bacterium. Its description in RNAcentral is "tRNA-Val". It matches the Rfam family "tRNA". Rfam says of the family: Transfer RNA (tRNA) molecules are approximately 80 nucleotides in length. Their secondary structure includes four short double-helical elements and three loops (D, anti-codon, and T loops). Lineage: Bacteria; Pseudomonadati; Bdellovibrionota; Oligoflexia; Oligoflexales. The record is from RNAcentral.
AGGGGCAUAGCUCAGCUGGUUAGAGCAUUAGCCUUACAAGCUAAGGGUCCACGGUUCGAAUCCGUGUGCCCCUACCA